UGGGGAAUAUUGCACAAUGGGCGAAAGCCUGAUGCAGCGACGCCGCGUGAGGGAUGACGGCCUUCGGGUUGUAAACCUCUUUCAGUAGGGACGAAGCGCAAGUGACGGUACCUGCAGAAGAAGCACCGGCUAACUACGUGCCAGCAGCCGCGGUAAUACGUAGGGUGCGAGCGUUGUCCGGAAUUACUGGGCGUAAAGAGCUCGUAGGCGGUUUGUCACGUCGUCUGUGAAAUCCUAGGGCUUAACCCUGGACGUGCAGGCGAUACGGGCUGACUUGAGUACUACAGGGGAGACUGGAAUUUCUGGUGUAGCGGUGGAAUGCACAGAUAUCAGGAAGAACACCGAUGGCGAAGGAAGGUCUCUGGGUAGUAACUGACGCUGAGGAGCGAAAGCAUGGGUAGCGAACAGG
RNAcentral lists this ribosomal RNA (409 nucleotides) under bacterium. RNAcentral's name for it is "partial 16S ribosomal RNA". It matches the Rfam family "Bacterial small subunit ribosomal RNA", at positions 355 to 776 of the family's 1533-position model. The record is from RNAcentral.